GACGAACGCUGGCGGCGUGCCUAAUACAUGCAAGUCGAACGCAGUGGGGACGGGUGAGUAACACGUGGGUAACCUCCCAUCAGAGGGGAUAACACUUGGAAACAGGUGCUAAACCGAUACUGAUGGAUGGACUCGCGGUGCAUUAGCUAGUUGGUGAGGUAACGGCUCACCAAGGCCACGAUGCAUAGCCGACCUGAGAGAGUGAUCGGCCACCCGUGUAGUGAGAAACGGCCCAGCCUCAUUCGGGGGGCAGCAGUAGGAAAUCUUCGGCAAUGGACGAAAGUCUGACCGAGCAACGCCGCGUGAGUGAAGAAGGUUUUCGGAUCGUAAAACUCUGUUGUGUGAGAAGCGGUAUCUAACCAGAAAGCCACGGCUAACUACGUGCCAGCAGCCGCGGUAAUAC
RNAcentral lists this ribosomal RNA (403 nucleotides) under uncultured bacterium. RNAcentral's name for it is "partial 16S ribosomal RNA". It matches the Rfam family "Bacterial small subunit ribosomal RNA", at positions 28 to 526 of the family's 1533-position model. The record is from RNAcentral.